RNAcentral lists this long non-coding RNA (203 nucleotides) under Malus domestica (apple). Its description in RNAcentral is "long non-coding RNA (MDOM_LNC001002)". The record is from RNAcentral. Lineage: Eukaryota; Viridiplantae; Streptophyta; Magnoliopsida; Rosales; Rosaceae.
ACCAAGUCUCCAAGGUCUUCCCAAAAAUUUCUCCUUCGAACUCGUAUCCAACCCUACUUGAGUGCGUACGCACUAAUCACAUUGAUAAGUUCUUGUCCUAUUACAAUCUUGAUUGCCAUGAUUCUAUCUCCUACCCUCUUGACAUCUACAACAUCUUGUUCAAGGUCUUGUCCACGAUGAUGCCAACACCGUUUCUCGUUCUA